GAUGCUUUUGCCAGGGACAGAACAGGAAUGGAGUCUUAGAACUCACUGUUACAGGAAUAUAAACAUGUUCUCUGGCCACACAACUGCAGAUCUUCAUGACUUGGAUUCAUUCAUCUUCACCAACACAGUAUCCCAGUCACAUCACAAGGGGAAGUCUAAGCCCGCAAGACUGAGGUCUCCAAGUCUACUCUGGAUUAACCCUGCACUUUUGAUGGAAGAAUUGGAACAAACUCUGCAUGUGGGCUGCCUAUUGGACUAUAUCCUUUUAAAUUGAUGCCAGAAGGAUUUUUACAAAUCCACAGCCUCCUCUCUGCCAUGAAACUGACUUAAGAAAUUUAUUCAUAUCUGUAUGUAUAAUGAUCUCUAACCAUAGCAACUUUCUUUUCU
Molecule: long non-coding RNA, 387 nt
Organism: Dermochelys coriacea (leatherback sea turtle)
Lineage: Eukaryota; Metazoa; Chordata; Testudines; Dermochelyidae
Exons: 3
Source: RefSeq, a predicted model, not a curated record